GUUCUUAGCCAUCCCUCAGUUGUUUGUGGAUGCUCCUCUACUGCCUUUAAUGUGAAGGAAAUACAAAUUCUAUAUCACUACUCUUCCCACCACCUCUUGGGAAAAUGGUUACCCAUAAAAAACAAUUUGAUGAGAAGACUAUGAAGAAUGCAGCCCGGGUCACCAUCGAGUAGUACUACAUGUGCCCAGGUUUAAAAGAGUCAAAGGAGGGAAAAAAAGGAUAUUACCUUGAUACAUCAAACAAUGAAGACAGAUAUGCAGCAUUCAAACCAAACUUUAAACAAUGAAUGAACACCGAAACUGAAA
Molecule: non-coding RNA, 306 nt
Organism: Rattus norvegicus (Norway rat)
Lineage: Eukaryota; Metazoa; Chordata; Mammalia; Rodentia; Muridae
Source: RefSeq, a predicted model, not a curated record